This 429-nucleotide ribosomal RNA is filed under the name Chloroflexota bacterium. RNAcentral describes it as "Chloroflexi bacterium partial 16S ribosomal RNA". It matches the Rfam family "Bacterial small subunit ribosomal RNA", at positions 355 to 776 of the family's 1533-position model. The record is from RNAcentral. Lineage: Bacteria; Bacillati; Chloroflexota.
UGGGGAAUAUUGCACAAUGGGCGCAAGUCUGAUGCAGCCAUGCCGCGUGUGUGAAGAAGGCCUUCGGGUUGUAAAGCACUUUCAGCGGGGAGGAAGGCGUUAAGGUUAAUAACCUUGGCGAUUGACGUUACCCGCAGAAGAAGCACCGGCUAACUCCGUGCUAGCAGCCGCGGUAAUACGGAGGGUGCAAGCGUUAAUCGGAAUUACUGGGCGUAAAGCGCACGCAGGCGGUCUGUCAAGUCGGAUGUGAAAUCCCCGGGCUCAACCUGGGAACUGCAUUCGAAACUGGCAGGCUAGAGUCUUGUAGAGGGGGGUAGAAUUCCAGGUGUAGCGGUGAAAUGCGUAGAGAUCUGGAGGAAUACCGGUGGCGAAGGCGGCCCCCUGGACAAAGACUGACGCUCAGGUGCGAAAGCGUGGGGAGCAAACAGG